GCCUAUCUGCAGUUGAAACCAUGACACCAUGGCGUAAACCAAGCAAGAAAAAUGAUGUCAUAGUGUAUUUGAACGUUAGUUAAAUGCAUGAGGCUAUAUUGGGGCAUUUACCAAUAUAGCUUUGGUUUAUUGGGUUACCUUUAUUUGGUCAAUGCAAGAAGUAGUUGCAGGAUAAAAUAUUUUAAUUCAAUUUGAUGGUUUACAUAUUGAUAGGUCCCAUGUUGAUUUCAAGGGUCUAGAAACCCUAAAAAUGUUUAGAAAAAAGUAAGGAAACAAUGAAAUUAUCUUGGGAACUUUGUAAAAAUAUAUAGGCCCUAAUGAUUAAGUACAACAAAAAUAUUCUGCAAAAUAUUUUAAAUUUAAGGAAAAAAUGUUUUCCACACAUUAGACCAAUCCUAAAAAUUGUUUAUAUUAUUAACAAUUAGAUACAAUAAAGUGAUUUUGAACUAGGUUGCAUUGGAAUAACAUCUUUUUUGUAUAAUUUGAGGAACCCAUUCUUGUAUAUAAUUUAAAAAUUGAUCAUUUUACUACAUAAAAUAGUAAAAUGUUUGUCAGAUGCCUAAGGGGCUGUUAAAAUGCAGUGUUUGUCAGAUGCCUAAGGGGCUGUGAAAAAUGCAGUGAUAUCAUGAUUCUGUUAAUUUGUGAAGGUAUAAAUAAUUUCUUAACCUAACAAUUUGUACAUGGAAACAGUCUGUCAAUAUUCCAACAUUUGAAUUCUAUUUAGUAUUUCUGAGUAUAGUUUGAACUUGUUUGUAAUUGUGAAAUUCAAUGAUUUUAGGGUUUGUAUUGAGACUUUGUUUUAGGAUAAAGAUAGAAGAGAACAACUGAUUGUGUUUAACAGGGUUAAUUCUGGGAUAAUUCAAAACACCCUAACUAAUGUUUCUACAUCUACAGUUUCUUGAGUGAAGAGGUGUAUUUACAAAGAAAGAAUUUGGACAAAAUGAAUUCCUAUUACCGUAUGAAGGAGAGUUAUUAGAGAAAGAACCAGAUGUAGAUGACACAUAUAUUUUUGAAUUUACAUUCAAAGG
RNA transcript from Magallana angulata, 1028 nucleotides. It is a transcript of the gene named N-lysine methyltransferase KMT5A-like, with no coding region annotated. The record is from RefSeq and is a predicted model, not a curated record. Lineage: Eukaryota; Metazoa; Mollusca; Bivalvia; Ostreida; Ostreidae. The transcript is spliced from 2 exons.